UCCAUGGGUGGGGGAUAACACUGGGAAACUGGUGCUAAUACCGCAUGACACCUGAGGGUCAAAGGCGCAAGUCGCCUGUGGAGGAGCCUGCGUUUGAUUAGCUAGUUGGUGGGGUAAAGGCCUACCAAGGCGAUGAUCAAUAGCUGGUUUGAGAGGAUGAUCAGCCACACUGGGACUGAGACACGGCCCAGACUCCUACGGGAGGCAGCAGUGGGGAAUAUUGGACAAUGGGGGCAACCCUGAUCCAGCAAUGCCGCGUGUGUGAAGAAGGUCUUCGGAUUGUAAAGCACUUUCGACGGGGACGAUGAUGACGGUACCCGUAGAAGAAGCCCCGGCUAACUUCGUGCCAGCAGCCGCGGUAAUACGAAGGGGGCUAGCGUUGCUCGGAAUGACUGGGCGUAAAGGGCGUGUAGGCGGUUUGUACAGUCAGAUGUGAAAUCCCCGGGCUUAACCUGGGAGCUGCAUUUGAUACGUGCAGACUAGAGUGUGAGAGAGGGUUGUGGAAUUCCCAGUGUAGAGGUGAAAUUCGUAGAUAUUGGGAAGAACACCGGUGGCGAAGGCGGCAACCUGGCUCAUUACUGACGCUGAGGCGCGAAAGCGUGGGGAGCAAACAGGAUUAGAUACCCUGGUAGUCCACGCUGUAAACGAUGUGUGCUAGAUGUUGGGUGACUUAGUCAUUCAGUGUCGCAGUUAACGCGUUAAGCMCACCGCCUGGGGGAGUACGGCCGCAAGGUUGAACUCAAAGGAAUUGACGGGGGCCCGCACCAAGCGGUGGGAGCAUKGKGUUAAUUCGAAGCAACGCSCARAACCUUACAGGCUUGAAUGUAGAGGCUGCAAGCARAGAUGUUUGUUUCCCGCAAGGAACCUCUUAAMACAGGUGCUGCAUGCUGGCGUCAGUYGUUCCUGRAAUGUUUGGUUAGGUUCCCGGUMG
Molecule: ribosomal RNA, 931 nt
Filed under: Acetobacter pasteurianus subsp. pasteurianus
Lineage: Bacteria; Pseudomonadati; Pseudomonadota; Alphaproteobacteria; Acetobacterales; Acetobacteraceae
Description: bacterial SSU rRNA
Source: RNAcentral